UACGAAGGGGGCUAGCGUUGCUCGGAAUUACUGGGCGUAAAGCGCACGUAGGCGGAUUGUUAAGUCGGGGGUGAAAUCCUGGAGCUCAACUCCAGAACUGCCUUCGAUACUGGCGAUCUCGAGUUCGGGAGAGGUGAGUGGAACUGCGAGUGUAGAGGUGAAAUUCGUAGAUAUUCGCAAGAACACCAGUGGCGAGGGCGGCUCACUGGCCCGAUACUGACGCUGAGGUGCGAAAGCGUGGGGAGCGAACAGG
Molecule: ribosomal RNA, 253 nt
Filed under: uncultured bacterium
Lineage: Bacteria
Description: partial 16S ribosomal RNA
Rfam family: Bacterial small subunit ribosomal RNA
Source: RNAcentral